Non-coding RNA from Meleagris gallopavo (turkey), 188 nucleotides. Lineage: Eukaryota; Metazoa; Chordata; Aves; Galliformes; Phasianidae. The record is from RefSeq and is a predicted model, not a curated record.
GACUUCAGGUGGGGGGAUAAGCAGCAGGAACAGAUGAACUCUUAAAAGCAAAAAUGCUGUUUCAUGUAAAUGUCCCUGGUAAUGAAGAAGAAAGGGAGGCAAAACAUGACAGAGAAACAGAAAAUUGUUGCUUUCAGAUGCUUUUAAUCUGCCCAGACGGUGUAUGGCCAGCCAGGUCCAUAUGGCAC